This 784-nucleotide non-coding RNA is filed under the name Callibia diana. Lineage: Eukaryota; Metazoa; Arthropoda; Insecta; Mantodea; Acanthopidae. The record is from RNAcentral.
AUUCUUGCUUAUAUUUUUAUUAGAAUAUCAUAUUUAUAUGUAAAUUUUUGUGUUGUAAUUCUUUAAAGAGGAAUUUAUAUUAAAUGUUAUACAGUAGAUAGUAUUAAAAAUUGAAGUAAUUCAGAUUUAGUGAAUAUUAAAAGAAUUGGAUAAAAUUGUGCCAGCAUCCGCGGUUAUACAUAAAAUUCUAGUAAAAAUUAUUGGUUUUGUAGUAAUUACUAUUUAUUAUGUAAUAAUUAUAUAAAAUAGGACUUAAAUAGUGAAAUAUUUAUAUUCUUAAAUUAUAUAAUAAUUCAUUAGGAAUAUUAUUAAAUUAAAAGGAUAAACUAGGAUUAGAUACCCUAUUAUUUUUAACGUAAAUUUAUUAAGCCAGAGUAUUAGUAGUUAUAAUCUUGAAACUUAAAGAAUUUGGCGGUAUUAUAGAUCUAUUUAGAGGAAUCUGUUAAGUGAUCGAUAGUCCACGCUGAACCUUACUUAUAUUAAUUCUUGUAUACCACUGUUAAGAAUAUAUUAUAAGGUUAUAUUCAUAUAAAAUUAUUGUUUAUAAUUUCAAGUCAAGGUGCAGUAAUAUAUAAGAUGAUUAAUGGAUUACAAAGAAUUGUAUUUUAUUACGGAUAAUAAUUGAAAAAUAUAUUUGAAGGUGGAUUUAAUUGUAAAUUUUAGAAGAUUAUAUAAUUGAAUAUGGCACUUUAAUAUGUACACAUCGCCCGUCACUCUCAUUAUAAGAUGAGAUAAGUCGUAACAGAGUAGUUGUAUCGGAAGAUGUAUCUAGAAAGAAAUUAAG